RNAcentral lists this long non-coding RNA (222 nucleotides) under Oryza sativa tropical japonica subgroup. Its description in RNAcentral is "lncRNA OsKeNa_05g0015690". Lineage: Eukaryota; Viridiplantae; Streptophyta; Magnoliopsida; Poales; Poaceae. The record is from RNAcentral.
AUGGCGGUGGCGGCGCUCGGCUUUGUCACCCUCCUCGCCUUCUGUUUUUUGGCGCCGGCGGCGUUGAUGUUGGGGGUACUACCACGACUCGCCGGAGCUAGUCGUCGUCGGCUCAGGUUGCUCGAGGCUCGUGGAGACGAACUCGUUCAUUGUGCAGGACAUCAAGGUGAUCAUCCUCCCGUAGCUCGGUUCUGCACGAGCUCAGUCGAAGAGUGUUUUAAU